CCUGAAAUCUCUUGAAGUAUCAGCGGGGGCGGG
Molecule: small RNA, 33 nt
Filed under: Bombyx mori (domestic silkworm)
Lineage: Eukaryota; Metazoa; Arthropoda; Insecta; Lepidoptera; Bombycidae
Description: ovarian small RNA-14034
Source: RNAcentral